UACGUAGGGGGCAAGCGUUGUCCGGAAUCAUUGGGCGUAAAGAGCGUGUAGGCGGCCCGGUAAGUCCGCUGUGAAAGUCCAGGGCUCAACCCUGGGAUGCCGGUGGAUACUGUCGGGCUCGAGUCCGGAAGAGGAGUGUGGAAUUCCUGGUGUAGCGGUGAAAUGCGCAGAUAUCAGGAAGAACACCCGUGGCGAAGGCGGCUCUCUGGGACGUGACUGACGCUGAGACGCGAAAGCGUGGGGAGCGAACAGG
This 253-nucleotide ribosomal RNA is filed under the name uncultured bacterium. RNAcentral's name for it is "partial 16S ribosomal RNA". It matches the Rfam family "Bacterial small subunit ribosomal RNA", at positions 524 to 776 of the family's 1533-position model. The record is from RNAcentral.